GUGCCAGCAGCCGCGGUAAUACGUAGGUGGCAAGCUUUGUCCGGAAUUAUUGGGCGUAAAGCGCGCGCAGGUGGGAUAUUAAGUCUGGUGUUAAAGUUCGGGGCUCAACCCCGUGAAGCAUUUGGAAACUGAUAUUCUUGAGUGCAGGAGAGGAAAGUGGAAUUCCUAGUGUAGCGGUGAAAUGCGUAGAUAUUAGGAGGAACACCAGUGGCGAGGGCGACUUUCUGGACUGUGUCUGACACUGAGGCGCGAAAGCUAGGGUAGUGAACAGGAUUAGAUACCCUGGUAAUCCUAGCUGUAAACGAUGGAUACUAGGUGUUGGGGGUAUCGACCCCUCCAGUGCCGGAGUUAACGCAAUAAGUACCCCGCCUGGGGAGUACGGCCGCAAGGUAAAAACUCAAAGGAAUUGACGG
Molecule: ribosomal RNA, 413 nt
Filed under: uncultured bacterium
Lineage: Bacteria
Description: bacterial SSU rRNA
Rfam family: Bacterial small subunit ribosomal RNA
Source: RNAcentral